RNAcentral lists this ribosomal RNA (311 nucleotides) under uncultured Sediminicola sp. RNAcentral's name for it is "bacterial SSU rRNA". It matches the Rfam family "Bacterial small subunit ribosomal RNA", at positions 28 to 334 of the family's 1533-position model. Lineage: Bacteria; Pseudomonadati; Bacteroidota; Flavobacteriia; Flavobacteriales; Flavobacteriaceae. The record is from RNAcentral.
GAUGAACGCUAGCGGCAGGCCUAACACAUGCAAGUCGAACGGUAACAGGAAUUAGCUUGCUAAUUUGCUGACGAGUGGCGCACGGGUGCGUAACGCGUAUACAAUCUACCUUUUGCUGAGGGAUAGCCCAGAGAAAUUUGGAUUAAUACCUCAUGGUAUUAUUGAUAGGCAUCUAUUAAUAAUUAAAGGUUACGGCAAAAGAUGAGUAUGCGUCCCAUUAGCUAGUUGGUGAAGUAACGGUUCACCAAGGCAACGAUGGGUAGGGGUCCUGAGAGGGAGAUCCCCCACACUGGUACUGAGACACGGACCAG